UACGGAGGGGGCUAGCGAUGUUAGGAAUUACUGGGCGUAAAGCGCGCGUAGGCGGACCUGCAAGUCGGGUGUGAAAGCCCGAGGCUCAACCUCGGAACUGCCUUCGAUACUGCGGGUCUCGAGUCCGGGAGAGGUGAGUGGAAUUCCUAGUGUAGAGGUGAAAUUCGUAGAUAUUAGGAAGAACACCAGUGGCGAAGGCGGCUCACUGGCCCGGUACUGACGCUGAGGUGCGAAAGCGUGGGGAGCAAACAGG
RNAcentral lists this ribosomal RNA (253 nucleotides) under uncultured bacterium. RNAcentral's name for it is "partial 16S ribosomal RNA". It matches the Rfam family "Bacterial small subunit ribosomal RNA", at positions 524 to 776 of the family's 1533-position model. The record is from RNAcentral.